This 483-nucleotide ribosomal RNA is filed under the name uncultured bacterium. Its description in RNAcentral is "partial 16S ribosomal RNA". It matches the Rfam family "Bacterial small subunit ribosomal RNA", at positions 30 to 507 of the family's 1533-position model. The record is from RNAcentral.
UUGCACGCUGGCGGCAGGCCUAACCCCUGCCAGUCGAGCGGAUGAAGGGAGCUUGCUCCUGGAUUCAGCGGCGGGCGGGUGAGUAAUGCCUAGGAAUCUGCCUGGUAGUGGGGGAUAACGUCCGGAAACGGGCGCUAAUACCGCAUACGUCCUGAGGGAGAAAGUGGGGGAUCUUCGGACCUCACGCUAUCAGAUGAGCCUAGGUCGGAUUAGCUAGUUGGUGGGGUAAAGGCCUACCAAGGCGACGAUCCGUAACUGGUCUGAGAGGAUGAUCAGUCACACUGGAACUGAGACACGGUCCAGACUCCUACGGGAGGCAGCAGUGGGGAAUAUUGGACAAUGGGCGAAAGCCUGAUCCAGCCAUGCCGCGUGUGUGAAGAAGGUCUUCGGAUUGUAAAGCACUUUAAGUUGGGAGGAAGGGCAGUAAGUUAAUACCUUGCUGUUUUGACGUUACCAACAGAAUAAGCACCGGCUAACUUCGUG